CACGCAUUACGUGUGGCCCGAAAAAAUGUCGCGGCUCGGAGAAAAACCAAUGUUCACUCCGCAAUACACAUCCUUCCCCCCCUUUCCACUCUGAUACCGCUGUUGCCAUUAAUCAAUGGAAAAUAAUUGCCCUAAAAGAGAUUUUGCCCCGCUCAUUUCUACCCUACGCUUUUUGCUGAGAUUAUGUUCCAUUUCGGCGAUUGAAGGUUUCGAUACUAUGGCAACAUAUGGUAAUGAACUAGCUUUUAUGAUUUAUUGAAGUCUAAUCGUUUUUUACUUUUUUUAUGCAUUUGAUUCAUAUGUGAGUUCUAGCCAAACAAGGUUCGAUUGUCGUUACUAGGGUUUUCACAUAAUCUUUGGUUAUUGAGUUCCUGGAUCUACAAAUUGACCGAUCUCAAUUCUUUAUACUUUAGUUUUAUUUGCGAUGAGUUGAAAAUUCUCUACCUUCCUUUCGCAUUUGAUCUGAUAUAUAUUCAAUUUCUGUGAUUUGUGAUUUUUCGCGACACAGCUAUAGAGUUGAGAGAAAUUGGUUUCACCCAUUUGAUGAUAAAUCGCAUGUGAUUUCUAUUCUCUGUGCUAAAUUCUGUGUGCUAAAAAAUUAUCUGUGCCAAAUUCCUUGUGUUUUAAAAAGCCAUUCAGAAAUGAAAUUACUUUUUUUUUGUUUGAUUAUCUUUUGAGCACUGUGUCUUUUGUCAACUGCUUUACUAAUUCCUUGUUUUCAUCGACAUAUAAUGGGGAUUAUGACGAGCAAUAUCAUCAUAUAACACGCAUAAGGUCUCAACACCAGAUUAAGGCAAGUACUCAAUCUUUUAUAUUGGUUCAAAUCUACGCAAUAUUCUCCAGUUACAUGUUUUAUUCGAAUGUUUCACUAAUUUUUCGAAUCCAGUAAUGUCUGGACAAUGGUCCAAUUUAAGAAGAUUGAAGCAUUGCAGAAUAGGAUAUUGGCUAAUACAUAUUGAAAAAUUUCAUAUAGUUGGUGGACUGAUUUUGAAUUCUUUUUAUUGACCAAGACAUAUUAGAAUAUGUUAUUUGGUAAUGAUUUACUUGACUAUUGUCUGGUUGUGGUGUUGAUUUGCUUGAACUGUGUAUAUAUGAAUCAAUUCCUGUUUAAUUUCCAAAUGCUUACUAAUAUAUGUGAUAGUUAAAGCACAAAUGAUGU
Molecule: long non-coding RNA, 1159 nt
Filed under: Salvia miltiorrhiza (redroot sage)
Lineage: Eukaryota; Viridiplantae; Streptophyta; Magnoliopsida; Lamiales; Lamiaceae
Description: long non-coding RNA (SMIL_LNC003538)
Source: RNAcentral